CUGGAGGGCUUAUUGAAACACAGAUUGCUGGGCCCCCCCCAGAGUGUGAGAGAGUAGGUCCGGGUGGGGCCCAGAAUUUAGAUUUGGAACCAGAUCCCCUGGUUCCACAGGUGCUGCUGGUCCCCGGACCACACACAGCCCUAAGGCCGGGGGACCACAUGACUUUGGAGCUCAGACACGUGAGAGGAGGCGGGACCCAAGGGCUGAGGGUGUAUCUCCUCACGACGCUGACCUGCUUCAAGCAACCACUGUGUAUCGCGCCUGCGGCCAAGCAGGACAUUAGAGACGCAGGGGGCCCCUGCAGCGAAUGUGCAUCAGAUGCCAUCUGUGUGCCAGCUCGAGGGAAGUUAGACGUUUGAGACCUUGCCCUAGUGUUCUAGGGCCGCUGGAACCAAGUAGCACAGACCCGGUGUGAGACAACAGAUUUCUUCUCCCCUGGUUCUGGAGGCCAGAAGUCUGAAAUCAAGGUUCCGGCAGGGCUGUGCCCUCUCUCUGUGCCUGGCGAUGGCCGGCCGUCCUGGAUGCUCUUCCGCUUGCUGUUGGUUGGACGCAAGCGCUGUCUCUGGAAGAGACCCUGUUUCCAAAUAAGGACUCAUUCACCUCAUUCAGGAUCCGGACUUCCAUGUAUCCUUUGGGGAGAUAGAGUUGAACUUGCGGCUGACAUUUAAAGAAGGACCCCAAACAACUCCAAAUGUAAAACCUGGCCCUGGCUCAUCACUCAUGUUUGGGAGACAAGACUCCCGAAGUGUCAGCAAGGACCCAGUGGCCGUCUGCCUUCCUGGAGCACGAACAGUGAGAGAGUCCCGUGGCCUCAGUGCUUCAUGCACACCGACCACUUAAUCCCUAACACAGCCCUCCCAGGGAGAUUCUGUUGCCAGUGGACUUUGCAGAUGAGGUAACUGAGGUGCAGAGAGGUCAUACAGCUUUGCCAAAGUGCCUGGGGAGCAGAGCUGGGUGUGUGUGUGUGUGUGAACGACAGCAAGUGACAGCAGGUUGUUUCCUGUUCUCUUCAGACCCUUGGCCCUUGUGAUGGGGACAGGUGAGGCUAACCUUUGUCUCAGCUGCCAUCACAAAACCCAGUGCUUACCUCCUUUAUCAUCCCCCUGGGGCGUGUGCUGCUCUGUGACUUCCCAGGGCGAUUGCAGGGGGCUUUGGGCAUGAUGUAGAAAAGGUCUGAUUACUUUCUUGAUCCCUAAACUCCCACUUGCAUAAGAUUUAGUCCAUAUUUAGGGUCAGUUUCCUGCAUCUGCUGGCAGAUGGAAGAGCCAUCCAGAACCCAUAACGAUAUGCUCUAAAUAACGUUUAUUUUGUGGUUCUGAUCCAUCUGAGUAAAUAUAGUUAGUACCAGAUGGGACUUCUGCAAUCUAGAGUUCUGAAGGCAAGAAAGGAUUUGUUUUGAGUUUCCUUAAAUUAGGUGAGCAAUUUUUUCCUUGGGCUAUCAACCCCCACGUUCAACAUUCCCAGCGUGACAUUUUGUACUGUUAUACUUGGUAAGUAAAGCUUAGCUAUUCUGAGGUUUAUGUGCCAGGAGCCUAUGCUCAGAGUUCCCUUUUUAGUUGCACUCAUAAAGGCUGCUCACAUGUUUGGGUAUUUCAUGCAGAAAGAAGUCUUUCGGGCUAGGUCAUUCUCGGUUAGAUAUUUACAAAGUUCACGGCUAUUUUUAACACACACCUCUGCUGCCUUAAAACCACAGUCAGCAUUUAAAGCCAUGACUGGCUUCUCUCACUUGGCAUAAUGUCUGCAAGGUUCACCCAUUGUGGUAAGUGAAAGAAGCCAGUCACAAAAGGACAAAUGCUGUAUAAGUCCACUUAGAUGAGGUUCCUAGGGUAGGCAGAUUCAUGGAAGCAGAAAGUAUGCCAGGGGCUGGGGGAGGGGGUAAUAGGGGAGUUAGUGUUUCACAGGGAAAGAGUUUCAGGUCGGGAAGAUGGAAACAUUCUGGAGAUGGAUGGUGGUUUUCUAACAAUGUGACUAUACUCAGUGCCACUGAACCGUAUACAUAAAAAUGGCUAAAACGGUAAAUUUUAUGUUGUGUAUAUUUUACAAAACAAAAAAACAUCCUAUAAUAACCUAAGCAACUCUAUGUAAAUUGAUACAAGUGAUACAAUUGAUAGAAACCUCACAUGCCUGCGAUUAAAUAUGAUGCGUAUCAUAAAUACUGACAAUCAUGCAUAUUUAUAUGACGUUUCUUUUGU
This is a long non-coding RNA of Neofelis nebulosa (Clouded leopard), 2192 nucleotides long. RefSeq lists it as uncharacterized. The transcript is spliced from 4 exons. Lineage: Eukaryota; Metazoa; Chordata; Mammalia; Carnivora; Felidae. The record is from RefSeq and is a predicted model, not a curated record.